This 443-nucleotide RNase P RNA is filed under the name Candidatus Woesearchaeota archaeon. RNAcentral describes it as "RNase P RNA component". It matches the Rfam family "Archaeal RNase P". Rfam says of the family: Ribonuclease P (RNase P) is a ubiquitous endoribonuclease, found in archaea, bacteria and eukarya as well as chloroplasts and mitochondria. Its best characterised activity is the generation of mature 5'-ends of tRNAs by cleaving the 5'-leader elements of precursor-tRNAs. Cellular RNase Ps are ribonucleoproteins. Lineage: Archaea; Nanobdellati; Candidatus Woesearchaeota. The record is from RNAcentral.
GGGAGUGGGAUGGAGCCGCGAAAACUCUUUAAAAACACAGUUUUUAAAGAAUUUUUGAGGAAAGUCUGCCCACAUCCGGGAUCUUCAGUUAAACUCUGAAGGUCCUGUAGGCAAUCGAUGCUGGAUUCUCUUUAAAAAGGCGACUUUUUAAGGAAAAUCUAGGUCCAGUAAUGGGCGGCAACAUCACAGAGACGAAACGGCCCCUUGCAAGUGCGGAUGAACGCGGUGACGGUCCUGGUGACAGGGCUAAGAUAACCCGCUGACAAUGCAGGGCGGAUGCGAUGAAACGGAUAGCCCCUUCGUGUGCAAGGCGGGAAUGGUGCCAAGAUGCGCGUAAAGGCGCGCAGAUUGAAUCGUUUAGCGCCGCUAAGUUGAAUGCUCCAUCGGAUCAUCGGCGCAGCAAGCGUCAUUGGGUCUGACAAAAGGCAGCUUACCCUGCUCCC